This 459-nucleotide ribosomal RNA is filed under the name uncultured bacterium. Its description in RNAcentral is "partial 16S ribosomal RNA". It matches the Rfam family "Bacterial small subunit ribosomal RNA", at positions 338 to 795 of the family's 1533-position model. The record is from RNAcentral.
CCUACGGGUGACAGCAGUGAGGAAUAUUGGUCAAUGGUCGGGAGACUGAACCAGCCAAGCCGCGUGAGGGAGGAAGGUACAGAGUAUCGUACACCUCUUUUGUCAGGGAACAAAGGCGGGGACGUGUCCCCGGAUGAGUGUACCUGAAGAAAAAGCAUCGGCUAACUCCGUGCCAGCAGCCGCGGUAAUACGGAGGAUGCGAGCGUUAUCCGGAUUUAUUGGGUUUAAAGGGUGCGCAGGCGGUCUGUUAAGUCAGCGGUCAAAGCCCGGGGCUCAACCCCGGCGAGCCGUUGAAACUGGCGGGCUGGAGUUGGAGAGAAGUACGCGGAAUGCGCGGUGGAGCGGUGAAAUGCUUAGAUAUCGCGCAGAACCCCGAUUGCGAAGGCAGCGUACCGGCUCCACACUGACGCUGAGGCACGAAAGCGUGGGUAUCGAACAGGAUUAGAUACCCGAGUAGUC